This is a small nuclear RNA of Urocitellus parryii (Arctic ground squirrel), 139 nucleotides long. Its record names the gene U4. It matches the Rfam family "U4 spliceosomal RNA". From Rfam's summary of the family: U4 small nuclear RNA (U4 snRNA) is a component of the major U2-dependent spliceosome. The structure of U4 snRNA from yeast and human has been reported. The record is from Ensembl. NCBI's taxonomy places the organism in Eukaryota, Metazoa, Chordata, Mammalia, Rodentia, Sciuridae.
AGCUUUGUGUAGUGGCAGUAUCAGAGCCAAUGAGGUUUAUCUGAGGCUGAUCGUUGSGAAUUGAAAACGUUCCCAAUACCCGGCCUUAACGACCUGCAAUAUGAUCAGCAUUGACAAUUUUUGACAGUCUCUAUAGAGA